This 870-nucleotide ribosomal RNA is filed under the name Aeromicrobium sp. M126. Its description in RNAcentral is "bacterial SSU rRNA". It matches the Rfam family "Bacterial small subunit ribosomal RNA", at positions 459 to 1329 of the family's 1533-position model. Lineage: Bacteria; Bacillati; Actinomycetota; Actinomycetes; Propionibacteriales; Nocardioidaceae. The record is from RNAcentral.
CGAAGCGAGAGUGACGGUACCUGCAGAAGAAGGACCGGCCAACUACGUGCCAGCAGCCGCGGUAAUACGUAGGGUCCGAGCGUUGUCCGGAAUUAUUGGGCGUAAAGGGCUCGUAGGCGGUUUGUCGCGUCGGGAGUGAAAACUCAGGGCUCAACCCUGAGCGUGCUUCCGAUACGGGCAGACUAGAGGUAUUCAGGGGAGAACGGAAUUCCUGGUGUAGCGGUGGAAUGCGCAGAUAUCAGGAGGAACACCGGUGGCGAAGGCGGUUCUCUGGGAAUUACCUGACGCUGAGGAGCGAAAGCAUGGGGAGCGAACAGGAUUAGAUACCCUGGUAGUCCAUGCCGUAAACGUUGGGCGCUAGGUGUGGGGACCUUCCACGGUUUCCGUGCCGCAGCUAACGCAUUAAGCGCCCCGCCUGGGGAGUACGGCCGCAAGGCUAAAACUCAAAGGAAUUGACGGGGGCCCGCACAAGCGGCGGAGCAUGCUGAUUAAUUCGAUGCAACGCGAAGAACCUUACCUGGGUUUGACAUAUGCCGGAAAGCUGCAGAGAUGUGGCCCCCCUUGUGGUCGGUAUACAGGUGGUGCAUGGCUGUCGUCAGCUCGUGUCGUGAGAUGUUGGGUUAAGUCCCGCAACGAGCGCAACCCUCGUUCUAUGUUGCCAGCACGUUAUGGUGGGGACUCAUAGGAGACUGCCGGGGUCAACUCGGAGGAAGGUGGGGAUGACGUCAAGUCUUCAUGCCCCUUAUGUCCAGGGCUUCAAGCAUGCUACAAUGGCCGGUACAAAGGGCUGCGAAACCGUAAGGUGGAGCGAAUCCCAAAAAGCCGGUCUCAGUUCGGAUUGGGGUCUGCAACUCGACCCCAUGAAGUCGG